CUAGGUAUACUUUGGAAGACUUUGGAAUACGUAGUAUUCCAAAGGUCGUAGGUUCGAUUCCCAACGUGGUCAGGCAUAUUUUUCAAGCUUGCCCGGUGUGGGACAGGAUAUACACUCAGAGUAACAUCACAAGCAUCAUAUUCACCUGAGUACAUUACACCAACACAGAAAAAUCAUGAUAUGAUAAGGUAUAUUAACUAAACAAUAGAUUUAAAGGUGAUCUACAGUCCGAUCUGCGCAUGUGCACAAAUGAGCCCACUUUUUAUGAUACAA
This is a non-coding RNA of Paramuricea clavata, 273 nucleotides long. Lineage: Eukaryota; Metazoa; Cnidaria; Anthozoa; Malacalcyonacea; Plexauridae. The record is from the annotation of a GenBank genome assembly.